AUACAACAUGCGGUGCGG
This 18-nucleotide non-coding RNA is filed under the name Arabidopsis thaliana (thale cress). The record is from RNAcentral. Lineage: Eukaryota; Viridiplantae; Streptophyta; Magnoliopsida; Brassicales; Brassicaceae.